Long non-coding RNA from Nannospalax galili (Upper Galilee mountains blind mole rat), 558 nucleotides. RefSeq lists it as uncharacterized. NCBI's taxonomy places the organism in Eukaryota, Metazoa, Chordata, Mammalia, Rodentia, Spalacidae. The transcript is spliced from 3 exons. The record is from RefSeq and is a predicted model, not a curated record.
CGCGCGUCCGUGUGUCUGCGCCGCCGACUUCCGCCCGCACUGAACUGGUCACGCGCUCAGCGAGAAGCAGGUCGGGUUCGUAGCCCGGCUGUUGUCUGCUCGCUGUAGGUCCUUCCAUACCUAAGAAGCUCAGAAACCCCCGAAGCGUGCGGCCUUGGCGUUUCCUCCCGCUGGAGACCAGGGAGACACUAGUUUUCUCUGAGUUCCCACCUCCUAUCUAAAAGGGGACGCUAUUGACAUCUUUAUGAGGACAGAGUGUAAUGGUACUUGUAAACUCUGAAACCUUUUACAAAGGUCAAGGAUCGUGAUUACUUUUGCUGCCAUCCCAGAUCCCGCACUGUUCUUGAAAAGUUUUGCUGUAAGAAUUGCCUGAUAUGUUCCAGGAUCUUAGAGAUGAGUGAGCAUCGGAAGUCAUCUCUCUAGUCUCUGAAACCAGUGCAACCAGCUUCCAUUUGAGCCCUUACAAUGGUGGGAAUUCACCACUUAACUGACAACCCAGUCAAUGUUUUUCAUUGUGAAAUAUAUCACACCUACAGAAGAGAGCAUGGAAAUGUAUGG